This is a long non-coding RNA of Molossus molossus (Pallas's mastiff bat), 417 nucleotides long. RefSeq lists it as uncharacterized. The record is from RefSeq and is a predicted model, not a curated record. The transcript has 3 exons. Lineage: Eukaryota; Metazoa; Chordata; Mammalia; Chiroptera; Molossidae.
ACCUACUGCGUUCAAUAGUUACAGUUCUUUCUUUUGUUUAUUUUAAAACUCUUAGUUGGAGCCAGAGUGUUAUAUGGUUUGGAUUGGGCCAUGGAAACCAGAACAAUUCAGCAAGCACCCUUUUCUGUCCCAGUCCAGAGAGCAGCUAUGAAAGUAUUGGCAACUGUAUUAUCUUUUGGCUACUUCCUGGCAAAUGAAAAUGAUUACAUGUGACCACUCGGGAUAAAAUUAAAGAUAUCUACAUUGCCUAAUUGGAAAAAACUGGAGAUCAAGAGUAUACGUAUUAACGUCACUCAGUUUCCCAUACUAAAAAGAAGCAACAUGCAGAAACUGGACCCGGGACUCGUUGGUCCACAGGCCGACGCUCCAACCGCUGAGCCAAACCAGCCAGGGCGGAUUUUGUAUUCUUUAAGUGGU